RNAcentral lists this ribosomal RNA (875 nucleotides) under Salmonella enterica subsp. houtenae. RNAcentral describes it as "partial 23S ribosomal RNA". It matches the Rfam family "Bacterial large subunit ribosomal RNA", at positions 415 to 1190 of the family's 2925-position model. The record is from RNAcentral. Lineage: Bacteria; Pseudomonadati; Pseudomonadota; Gammaproteobacteria; Enterobacterales; Enterobacteriaceae.
GGGCGGGACACGUGGUAUCCUGUCUGAAUAUGGGGGGACCAUCCUCCAAGGCUAAAUACUCCUGACUGACCGAUAGUGAACCAGUACCGUGAGGGAAAGGCGAAAAGAACCCCGGCGAGGGGAGUGAAACAGAACCUGAAACCGUGUACGUACAAGCAGUGGGAGCCCCACCACUAAGCCAGUGGUGAACUCCACAUACGCAUCCUUUGCUGAGGAUACGGUUAACGGAGCGAAAGCGACGUUCAACCGCAAAAGAAGCAGAGGGGGCUUAGUGGUGGGGUGACUGCGUACCUUUUGUAUAAUGGGUCAGCGACUUAUAUUCUGUAGCAAGGUUAACCGCAUAGGGGAGCCGGAGGGAAACCGAGUCUUAACCGGGCGUUAAGUUGCAGGGUAUAGACCCGAAACCCGGUGAUCUAGCCAUGGGCAGGUUGAAGGUUGGGUAACACUAACUGGAGGACCGAACCGACUAAUGUUGAAAAAUUAGCGGAUGACCUGUGGCUGGGGGUGAAAGGCCAAUCAAACCGGGAGAUAGCUGGUUCUCCCCGAAAGCUAUUUAGGUAGCGCCUCGUGAAUUCAUCUCCGGGGGUAGAGCACUGUUUCGGCCAGGGGGCCAUCCCGGCUUACCAAUCCGAUGCAAACUGCGAAUACCGGAGAAUGUUAUCACGGGAGACACACGGCGGGUGCUAACGUCCGUCGUGAAGAGGGAAACAACCCAGACCGCCAGCUAAGGUCCCAAAGUCAUGGUUAAGUGGGAAACGAUGUGGGAAGGCCCAGACAGCCAGGAUGUUGGCUUAGAAGCAGCCAUCAUUUAAAGAAAGCGUAAUAGCUCACUGGUCGAGUCGGCCUGCGCGGAAGAUGUAACGGGGCUAAACCAU